GUGCUUGCUUUGGCAACACAUAUACUAAAAUAGGAACAAUAUAGAAAAGAUUAGCAUGGCUUCUGUACAAGGAUGACACACAAAUUCAUGCAGCAUUCCAUAUUUUA
RNAcentral lists this small nuclear RNA (107 nucleotides) under Dasypus novemcinctus (nine-banded armadillo). The record is from RNAcentral. Lineage: Eukaryota; Metazoa; Chordata; Mammalia; Cingulata; Dasypodidae.